AAAGUGGGGGAUCGUAAGACCUCACGCUUUUUGAGGAGCCCGCGGCCUAUCAGCUUGUUGGUGAGGUAAAAGCUUACCAAGGCUACGACGGGUAGCUGGUCUGAGAGGACGACCAGCCUCACUGGAACUGGGACACGGUCCAGACACCUACGGGUGGCAGCAGUCGAGAAUCCUUCACAAUGGGGGCAACCCUGAUGAAGCGACGCCGCGUGGAGGAUGAAGGUCUUCGGAUCGUAAACUCCUGUCACCACAGAACAAGGGUGUCAAAACGAAUACUUUUGAUAUUUGAUGGUAUGUGGAGAGGAAGGGACGGCUAACUCUGUGCCAGCAGCCGCGGUGAUACAGAGGUCCCAAGCGUUGUUCGGAUUCACUGGGCGUAAAGGGUGCGUAGGGGGCCGGGAAAGUCGGAUGUGAAAUCUUACUGUUCAACAGUAAAAUUGCAUUCGAAACUCCUCGGCUAGAGGAUCGGAGAGGAAAGCGGAAUUCUUGGUGUAGCGGUGAAAUGCGUAGAUAUCAAGAGGAACGCCAAUGGCGAAAGCAGCUUUCUGGAAGACUCCUGACCCUGAGGCACGAAGGCUAGGGUAGCAAACAGGAUUAGAGACCCUGGUAGUCCUAACAGUAAACGGUGCUCAUUAGGUGUUGGCGGAUUCGACCCC
This 656-nucleotide ribosomal RNA is filed under the name uncultured organism. RNAcentral's name for it is "bacterial SSU rRNA". It matches the Rfam family "Bacterial small subunit ribosomal RNA", at positions 202 to 838 of the family's 1533-position model. The record is from RNAcentral.